Marmota marmota marmota (Alpine marmot) is the source of this 107-nucleotide small nuclear RNA. NCBI's taxonomy places the organism in Eukaryota, Metazoa, Chordata, Mammalia, Rodentia, Sciuridae. The record is from Ensembl.
AUGCUUGCUUUGGCAGCACAUAUACUAAAAUGGGAACAAUUUAGAGAAGAUUAGCAUGGCCCCUGCACAAGGAUGGCAUGCAAAUUCAUGAAGCAUUCCAUAUUUCU